RNAcentral lists this ribosomal RNA (117 nucleotides) under Bacillota bacterium. Lineage: Bacteria; Bacillati; Bacillota. The record is from RNAcentral.
UCCGGUGGCCAUGGCGGAGGUGACCCACCCGUUCCCAUUCCGAACACGGCCGUGAAACCCUCCAGCGCCCAGGGUACUUGGCGGUCCGCCGCCCGGGAGAGCAGGUCGCCGCCGGAG